AGCACAGUGUAGCAAUACGACGGGUGGCGACCGGCGCGACGGGUGCGUACGCGUAUCCAACCUUCCCGUUACUCAGGGAUAGCCUUCCGAAAGGGAGAUUAAUACCUGAUGGUGUUGAAAUUCCGCAUGUUAUUUCAACUAAAGAUUUAUCGGUAACGGAUAGGGAUGCGUGACAUUAGAUAGUAGGCGGGGUAACGGCCCACCUAGUCUACGAUGUCUAGGGGUUCUGAGAGGAAGGUCCCCCACACUGGUACUGAGAUACGGACCAGACUCCUACGGGAGGCAGCAGUGAGGAAUAUUGGUCAAUGGUCGGAAGACUGAACCAGCCAUGCCGCGUGCAGGAAGAAUGUCUUAUGGAUUGUAAACUGCUUUUGUAUGGGGCUAAUAAUAACUUUGCGAAGUUAGAUGCAGGUACCAUACGAAUAAGGAUCGGCUAACUCCGUG
RNAcentral lists this ribosomal RNA (444 nucleotides) under uncultured bacterium. Its description in RNAcentral is "bacterial SSU rRNA". It matches the Rfam family "Bacterial small subunit ribosomal RNA", at positions 68 to 507 of the family's 1533-position model. The record is from RNAcentral.